This 488-nucleotide ribosomal RNA is filed under the name Bothrops alternatus (urutu). Its description in RNAcentral is "partial 16S ribosomal RNA". It matches the Rfam family "Bacterial large subunit ribosomal RNA", at positions 1844 to 2601 of the family's 2925-position model. Lineage: Eukaryota; Metazoa; Chordata; Lepidosauria; Squamata; Viperidae. The record is from RNAcentral.
UAUUAAAGGCGACGCCUGCCCAGUGAAAAUUAAACGGCCGCGGUAUCCUAACCGUGCAAAGGUAGCAUAAUCAUUUGUCUAUUAAUUGUAGACCUGUAUGAAAGGCAAAAUGAGGGCCCAACUGUCUCUUAUAACAAAUCAAUUAAACUGAUCUCCUAGUACAAAAGCUAGAAUAAUAACAUAAGACCAGAAGACCCUGUGAAGCUUUAACUAACCUAUUAAACCCAAUAAUAGCUACUUUUGGUUGGGGCGACCUUGGAAUAAAAAAGAACUUCCAACCUAUGACUCCCUCAUAAAAAAGGCAAACAAGCCAACACUAGACCCAGCACAGCUGACAAUUGAAACAAGUUACUCCAGGGAUAACAGCGCUAUCUUCUUUAAGAGCCCAUAUCAAAAAGAAGGUUUACGACCUCGAUGUUGGAUCAGGACACCCCAGUAAUGCAACCGUUACUAAAGGUUCGUUUGUUCAACGAUUAAUAGUCCUACGU